GAUGAACGCUAGCGGGAGGCCUAACACAUGCAAGCCGAGCGGUAUUUGUUCUUCGGAACAGAGAGAGCGGCGCACAGGUGCGGAACACGUGUGCAACCUGCCUUUAUCUGGGGGAUAGCCUUUCGAAAGGAAGAUUAAUACCCCAUAAUAUAUUGAGUGGCAUCAUUUGAUAUUGAAAACUCCGGUGGAUAGAGAUGGGCACGCGCAAGAUUAGAUAGUUGGUGAGGUAACGGCUCACCAAGUCAAUGAUCUUUAGGGGGCCUGAGAGGGUGAUCCCCCACACUGGUACUGAGACACGGACCAGACUCCUACGGGAGGCAGCAGUGAGGAAUAUUGGACAAUGGGUUAGCGCCUGAUCCAGCCAUCCCGCGUGAAGGACGACGGCCCUAUGGGUUGUAAACUUCUUUUGUAUAGGGAUAAACCUACUCUCGUGAGAGUAGCUGAAGGUACUAUACGAAUAAGCACCGGCUAACUCCGUG
This 479-nucleotide ribosomal RNA is filed under the name uncultured bacterium. RNAcentral's name for it is "partial 16S ribosomal RNA". It matches the Rfam family "Bacterial small subunit ribosomal RNA", at positions 28 to 507 of the family's 1533-position model. The record is from RNAcentral.